Molecule: ribosomal RNA, 718 nt
Filed under: uncultured bacterium
Lineage: Bacteria
Description: bacterial SSU rRNA
Rfam family: Bacterial small subunit ribosomal RNA
Source: RNAcentral
AACAGGAUUAGAUACCCUGGUAGUCCACGCCCUAAACGAUGAAUACUCGAUGUUAGCGAUAUACAGUUAGCGUCUAAGCAAAAGCAUUAAGUGAUCCACCUGGGGAGUACGGCCGCAAGGCUGAAACUCAAAGGAAUUGACGGGGGCCCGCACAAGCGGAGGAACAUGUGGUUUAAUUCGAUGAUACGCGAGGAACCUUACCUGGGCUUAAAUGUAGAGUGCAUGGGGUAGAAAUAUCCCUUUCCUUCGGGACUCUUUGCAAGGUGCUGCAUGGUUGUCGUCAGCUCGUGCCGUGAGGUGUCGGGUUAAGUCCCAUAACGAGCGCAACCCUUAUCGUUAGUUGCCAGCGGGUAAUGCCGGGAACUCUAACGAAACUGCCGGUGUAAACCGUGAGGAAGGUGGGGAUGACGUCAAAUCAGCACGGCCCUUAUGUCCAGGGCUACACACGUGUUACAAUGGCCGGUACAGAGGGCAGCUACCUGGAGACAGGAUGCGAAUCUCCAAAGCCGGUCUCAGUUCGGAUCGGAGUCUGCAACUCGACUCCGUGAAGCUGGAUUCGCUAGUAAUCGCGCAUCAGCCAUGGCGCGGUGAAUACGUUCCCGGGCCUUGUACACACCGCCCGUCAAGCCAUGGAAGUUGGGGGUACCUGAAGUCCGUAACCGUAAGGAGCGGCCUAGGGUAAAACUAGUGACUGGGGCUAAGUCGUAACAAGGUAACC